AUUGAACGCUGGCGGCAUGCCUUACACAUGCCAGUCGAACGGUAACAGGUCUUCGGAUGCUGACGAGUGGCGAACGGGUGAGUAAUACAUCGGAACGUGCCCGAUCGUGGGGGAUAACGAGGCGAAAGCUUUGCUAAUACCGCAUACGAUCUACGGAUGAAAGCGGGGGAUCUUCGGACCUCGCGCGGACGGAGCGGCCGAUGGCAGAUUAGGUAGUUGGUGGGAUAAAAGCUUACCAAGCCGACGAUCUGUAGCUGGUCUGAGAGGAUGAUCAGCCACACUGGGACUGAGACACGGCCCAGACUCCUACGGGAGGCAGCAGUGGGGAAUUUUGGACAAUGGGCGAAAGCCUGAUCCAGCCAUGCCGCGUGCAGGAUGAAGGCCUUUGGGUUGAAAACUGCUUUUGUACGGAACGAAAAGCCUCUUUCUAAUAAAGAGGGGUCAUGACGGUACCGUAAGAAUAAGCACCGGCUAACUACGUG
This 482-nucleotide ribosomal RNA is filed under the name uncultured bacterium. RNAcentral describes it as "partial 16S ribosomal RNA". It matches the Rfam family "Bacterial small subunit ribosomal RNA", at positions 30 to 507 of the family's 1533-position model. The record is from RNAcentral.